GCGCGACUCCGUUGUCCAAUCUUGUAACGUUUCUCUAAUAAUUUAUCUCGCGCCGUGACUCACGUGCUCGCCGUCCUUUUAUUAAGCCGUAAAUUAAUUCUUUCAAAUUGAGCUCUCCCAUCGUAGACCGUGCUCCCAUCGCAGCCCAGAGCCCAACCGGGAUCGUAAAAAUUUAAAUGCAGCGGUAGGAAGUUGAGCCGCAGCUGCUCGAAAAUGUGGGAGGCAGUGACUCACGAGAAAUCCGAAUCGGCAUGCGACCGAGUGGUGGGAACUAAAACAUCCGUAGAUCGAUGAUUCGUCUCGAAAGAGAAACAGCGCUCGACUCAAGGGAACGCCAUCGCACAAAGUUGUAUGCAAUGAGUGCAUACGGAAUGACUAGCUGCAUCGGAGCAAACACGCUGAUCCGAAUACGUUACGUGAUUCACGCGUGAGGAGACUUCCAUGAAACGUUCUUUAGGAAGACACGCUGAUUCAGGAAGAUUCUUGGAAAGCUAUUCACUCCUCCGCGAGGAAUUACUUAUGAAUCAACGUAGUUGCAUCUCUCGUACAAAUGGAGAUUCCGAGCGUCAUAGUGUCAGUUAUAGCACCCCCGAGUUCGUCGAGUUACCGUAACAUCCCCUCAGUGAAAAUACUUAAUUUACAAGAGAAGAAAGAAUGUUUUUAAACACAGUUGUAUCGUCGGCAAAACACCUGGAACAGGCGGCCAGCGACCUCGUUCUCGAGAGAUUAAAAUUUAUACCAGGCCUGCGUUGCCGUUCUCGACCUGCACCUGCUGCCCUGCCGCCGUCGGCCGCGCUAUAAUCUUAUCGAACGACGUUGAUCCGCCCCAGCCCCGGUCGUUGCCAUUGCUAUUGUUGUAGGUCGGAAUGGAUCUCGCCCCUAUGCGCCCGUGCGUUUUUACGAGACAGGGGAUGCAUUUCGCAACAGAGUAUCUCUGAUAUUAAUCCUCGAUUAUAUAAUUAAUGAAUUUUGCAGAAAGACUCAAAUACAGAAAUGAUUCUGAUAAAUACUAUCAAAAGAU
Long non-coding RNA from Pogonomyrmex barbatus (red harvester ant), 1021 nucleotides. The record is from RefSeq and is a predicted model, not a curated record. Lineage: Eukaryota; Metazoa; Arthropoda; Insecta; Hymenoptera; Formicidae.